UACGGUAGGGUGCAAGCGUUGUCCGGAAUUAUUGGGCGUAAAGAGCUCGUAGGCGGUUUGUCGCGUCUGCUUGUGAAAAACUCGGGGGCUUAACCCCCGGGCCUGCAGUGGGUACGGGGCAGACUAGAAGGUGCGGUAGGGGAGACUGGGAAUUCCUGGUGUAGGCGGUGAAAAUGCGCAGAUAUCAGGAGGAACACCGGUGGCGAAGGCGGAUCUCUGGGCAGUAACUGACGCUGAGGAGCGAAAGCGUGGGAGCGAACAGGA
Molecule: ribosomal RNA, 264 nt
Filed under: uncultured bacterium
Lineage: Bacteria
Description: partial 16S ribosomal RNA
Rfam family: Bacterial small subunit ribosomal RNA
Source: RNAcentral